This 847-nucleotide ribosomal RNA is filed under the name uncultured Ralstonia sp. RNAcentral's name for it is "bacterial SSU rRNA". It matches the Rfam family "Bacterial small subunit ribosomal RNA", at positions 51 to 885 of the family's 1533-position model. Lineage: Bacteria; Pseudomonadati; Pseudomonadota; Betaproteobacteria; Burkholderiales; Burkholderiaceae. The record is from RNAcentral.
ACACAUGCAAGUCGAACGGCAGCAUGAUCUAGCUUGCUAGAUUGAUGGCGAGUGGCGAACGGGUGAGUAAUACAUCGGAACGUGCCCUGUAGUGGGGGAUAACUAGUCGAAAGAUUAGCUAAUACCGCAUACGACCUGAGGGUGAAAGUGGGGGACCGCAAGGCCUCAUGCUAUAGGAGCGGCCGAUGUCUGAUUAGCUAGUUGGUGAGGUAAAGGCUCACCAAGGCGACGAUCAGUAGCUGGUCUGAGAGGACGAUCAGCCACACUGGGACUGAGACACGGCCCAGACUCCCUACGGGAGGCAGCAGUGGGGAAUUUUGGACAAUGGGCGAAAGCCUGAUCCAGCAAUGCCGCGUGUGUGAAGAAGGCCUUCGGGGUUGUAAAGCACUGUUGUCCGGAAAGAAAUGGCUCUGGUUAAUACCUGGGGUCGAUGACGGUACCGGAAGAAUAAGGACCGGCUAACUACGUGCCAGCAGCCGCGGUAAUACGUAGGGUCCAAGCGUUAAUCGGAAUUACUGGGCGUAAAGCGUGCGCAGGCGGUUGUGCAAGACCGAUGUGAAAUCCCCGAGCUUAACUUGGGAAUUGCAUUGGUGACUGCACGGCUAGAGUGUGUCAGAAGGGGGUAGAAUUCCACGUGUAGCAGUGAAAUGCGUAGAGAUGUGGAGGAAUACCGAUGGCGAAGGCAGCCCCCUGGGAUAACACUGAACGCUCAUGCACGAAAGCGUGGGGAGCAAACAGGAUUAGAUACCCUGGUAGUCCACGCCCUAAACGAUGUCAACUAGUUGUUGGGGAUUCAUUUCCUUAGUAACGUAGCUAACGCGUGAAGUUGACCGCCUGGGGAGUACGG